RNAcentral lists this long non-coding RNA (282 nucleotides) under Medicago truncatula (barrel medic). Its description in RNAcentral is "long non-coding RNA (MTRU_LNC007476)". The record is from RNAcentral. Lineage: Eukaryota; Viridiplantae; Streptophyta; Magnoliopsida; Fabales; Fabaceae.
UUCGACUUGUGUUGACAAGUCGUUCUCCUUUUUUCUACUCCUUUCUGUCCCUUCGGAAUUAAGAGUGUUCUUAAGACCAUAAUCCAUCGUCGGUUUAUUAUCCUUUUGGAAAUAAGAAUGGUCUUAAGAGCAUAGUCCCUUCAAUUAUUUAUGUCUCUUUAGAAUAAAUAAUAUUUUAAGAUCAUGGUCCCUUUUUCGGUAUAAUAAAGAUGAUCUUAAAUAUAUAUUCUUCUUCAAUUCUUGGAGAAGUUGGAUGUUAGAAUGGUAGCAAUAUCAUAUAUG